Molecule: non-coding RNA, 248 nt
Organism: Pelobates cultripes (western spadefoot toad)
Lineage: Eukaryota; Metazoa; Chordata; Amphibia; Anura; Pelobatidae
Source: the annotation of a GenBank genome assembly
GUCUGCCCAAUUUUCUAAAUACUUUCAUUAGUCCCUAGCCUUAUCUUAUAGUUAGGAUAGCCUUAUGCCUAUCCCACGCAUGCUUAAAAUCCUUUACUGUGUUAACCUCUACCACUUCAGCUGGAAGGCUAUUCCAUGCAUCCACUACCCUCUCAGUAAAGUAAUACUUCCUGAUAUUAUUUUUAAACCUUUGUCCCUCUAAUUUAAGACUAUGUCCUCUUGUUGUGGUAGUUUUUCUUCUUUUAAAU